Long non-coding RNA from Branchiostoma belcheri (Belcher's lancelet), 272 nucleotides. RefSeq lists it as uncharacterized. The record is from RefSeq and is a predicted model, not a curated record. NCBI's taxonomy places the organism in Eukaryota, Metazoa, Chordata, Leptocardii, Amphioxiformes, Branchiostomatidae. The transcript is spliced from 3 exons.
UACUGAAUCGAACGCUUUUCGAACGAGUUUUCUUUGCAGAGCGUAUCACUCCGCCGUCCAUAGCAACGCCGUUGCUAAAGACGACGUUUUCGCGGGCGGCGGGCUGAAAUUUCAUCCGAGUUGUUGACAGCCGAUUACAUCACCAGUUUCGGCCUCUGCAUCAAGAUGGCGAUCAUCCUAGGCUUCACCGACUGUAAAAUUGGUGAAAGUCAUGCCCAACAGGAUUGUCACCAGCAGGAUACCAGGAUGUUAUAUUUAGCUUGAGAUUAUGG